GGGGGUAUAACUCUGGUAGAGCAUCUGCUUUGCAUGCAGAAGAUCCCAGGUGCAAUCUCUGGCAUCCCUA
Molecule: non-coding RNA, 70 nt
Organism: Podarcis lilfordi (Lilford's wall lizard)
Lineage: Eukaryota; Metazoa; Chordata; Lepidosauria; Squamata; Lacertidae
Source: the annotation of a GenBank genome assembly